CCUGCUUAAAUCCUGCAGAAUACGAGUCUUAUUAACACCAAGAAGAAGCUUGAGACUGAUCUGCUCCAGGUUCAAGGUGAGGUGGAUGAUGCAGUCCAGGAGGCCAGAAAUGCAGAGGAGAAGGCCAAGAAGGCCAUCACUGAUGCUGCCAUGAUGGCUGAGGAGCUGAAGAAGGAGCAGGACACCAGUGCUCACCUGGAGAGGAUGAAGAAGAACAUGGAGGUGACUGUC
Molecule: long non-coding RNA, 231 nt
Organism: Cyprinus carpio (common carp)
Lineage: Eukaryota; Metazoa; Chordata; Actinopteri; Cypriniformes; Cyprinidae
Exons: 2
Source: RefSeq, a predicted model, not a curated record